UACGUAGGGGGCUAGCGUUGUCCGGAAUCAUUGGGCGUAAAGCGCGUGUAGGCGGUCCGGUAAGUCCGCUGUGAAAGUCGGGGGCUCAACCCUCGGAUGCCGGUGGAUACUGUCGGGCUUGAGUACGGAAGAGGCGAGUGGAAUUCCUGGUGUAGCGGUGAAAUGCGCAGAUAUCAGGAGGAACACCAAUUGCGAAGGCAGCUCGCUGGGACGUUACUGACGCUGAGACGCGAGAGCGUGGGGAGCAAACCGG
This 253-nucleotide ribosomal RNA is filed under the name uncultured bacterium. Its description in RNAcentral is "partial 16S ribosomal RNA". It matches the Rfam family "Bacterial small subunit ribosomal RNA", at positions 524 to 776 of the family's 1533-position model. The record is from RNAcentral.